RNAcentral lists this ribosomal RNA (253 nucleotides) under uncultured bacterium. RNAcentral describes it as "partial 16S ribosomal RNA". It matches the Rfam family "Bacterial small subunit ribosomal RNA", at positions 524 to 776 of the family's 1533-position model. The record is from RNAcentral.
UACGUAGGGUGCAAGCGUUGUCCGGAAUUAUUGGGCGUAAAGAGCUCGUAGGCGGUUUGUCGCGUCUGCUGUGAAAACCCGAGGCUCAACCUCGGGCCUGCAGUGGGUACGGGCAGACUAGAGUGCGGUAGGGGAGAUUGGAAUUCCUGGUGUAGCGGUGAAAUGCGCAGAUAUCAGGAGGAACACCGGUGGCGAAGGCGGGUCUCUGGGCCGAAACUGACGCUGAGGAGCGAAAGCGUGGGGAGCAAACAGG